CCCUUAGAUGUUCUGGGCUGCACGCGCGCUACACUGAUGCACUCAACGAGUUUUCGACCUUGCCCGAUAGGGCUGGGUAAUCUUUUUAAAAUGCAUCGUGAUGGGGAUAGAUUAUUGCAAUUAUUAAUCUUCAACGAGGAAUUCCUAGUAAGCGCAUGUCAUCAGCAUGCAUUGAAUACGACCCUGUAUUCUGUACACACCGCCCGUCGCUCCUACCGAUUGAAGUUUUCGGUGAGCUUGCAGGAGGAGUUUUUUGAAACUGGUUCGCUAGUGGAUUUUUAUUCCAAAUGCUAACGAAUCGAUGGCUUUAGAGGAAGGAGAAGUCGUAACA
This 331-nucleotide ribosomal RNA is filed under the name uncultured eukaryote. Its description in RNAcentral is "partial 18S ribosomal RNA". It matches the Rfam family "Eukaryotic small subunit ribosomal RNA", at positions 1470 to 1796 of the family's 1831-position model. The record is from RNAcentral.